Molecule: ribosomal RNA, 253 nt
Filed under: uncultured bacterium
Lineage: Bacteria
Description: partial 16S ribosomal RNA
Rfam family: Bacterial small subunit ribosomal RNA
Source: RNAcentral
GACAGAGGGUGCAAACGUUGUUCGGAAUUACUGGGCGUAAAGCGCGUGUAGGCGGCAGGGCAUGUCGGAUGUGAAAUCCCGUGGCUCAACCACGGAAGUGCACCCGAAACUGCCCAGCUUGAGUCUCGGAGAGGAAGGCGGAAUGCUUGGUGUAGAGGUGAAAUUCGUAGAUAUCAAGCGGAACACCGGUGGCGAAGGCGGCCUUCUGGACGAUGACUGACGCUGCGACGCGAAAGCGUGGGGAGCAAACAGG